UGGGGAAUCUUGCGCAAUGGGGGAAACCCUGACGCAGCGACGCCGCGUGGGUGAUGAAGGCCUUCGGGUUGUAAAGCCCUGUGGGAGGGGACGAAUAAGUGCACGUGAAUAUCGUGCAUGAUGACGGUACCCUUUUAGCAAGCACCGGCUAACUCUGUGCCAGCAGCCGCGGUAAUACAGAGGGUGCAAACGUUGUUCGGAUUUACUGGGCGUAAAGCGCGUGUAGGCGGUGAUGCAAGUCGGAUGUGAAAUCCCAGGGCUCAACCCUGGAAGUGCAUUCGAUACUGCGUCGCUUGAGUCUCGGAGAGGAGGGUGGAAUUCUUGGUGUAGAGGUGAAAUUCGUAGAUAUCAGGAGGAACACCAGUGGCGAAGGCGGCCCUCUGGACGGUGACUGACGCUGAGACGCGAAAGCGUGGGUAGCAAACAGG
This 428-nucleotide ribosomal RNA is filed under the name uncultured Myxococcales bacterium. RNAcentral describes it as "bacterial SSU rRNA". It matches the Rfam family "Bacterial small subunit ribosomal RNA", at positions 355 to 776 of the family's 1533-position model. The record is from RNAcentral. Lineage: Bacteria; Pseudomonadati; Myxococcota; Myxococcia; Myxococcales.